Molecule: ribosomal RNA, 651 nt
Filed under: uncultured bacterium
Lineage: Bacteria
Description: bacterial SSU rRNA
Rfam family: Bacterial small subunit ribosomal RNA
Source: RNAcentral
UUAGAGUUUGAUCCUGGCUCAGAUUGAACGCUGGCGGCAUGCCUUACACAUGCAAGUCGAACGGCAGCACGGGUGCUUGCACCUGGUGGCGAGUGGCGAACGGGUGAGUAAUACAUCGGAACAUGUCCUGUAGUGGGGGAUAGCCCGGCGAAAGCCGGAUUAAUACCGCAUACGAUCUACGGAUGAAAGCGGGGGACCUUCGGGCCUCGCGCUAUAGGGUUGGCCGAUGGCUGAUUAGCUAGUUGGUGGGGUAAAGGCCUACCAAGGCGACGAUCAGUAGCUGGUCUGAGAGGACGACCAGCCACACUGGGACUGAGACACGGCCCAGACUCCUACGGGAGGCAGCAGUGGGGAAUUUUGGACAAUGGGCGAAAGCCUGAUCCAGCAAUGCCGCGUGUGUGAAGAAGGCCUUCGGGUUGUAAAGCACUUUUGUCCGGAAAGAAAUCCUUGGCUCUAAUACAGUCGGGGGAUGACGGUACCGGAAGAAUAAGCACCGGCUAACUACGUGCCAGCAGCCGCGGUAAUACGUAGGGUGCGAGCGUUAAUCGGAAUUACUGGGCGUAAAGCGUGCGCAGGCGGUUUGCUAAGACCGAUGUGAAAUCCCCGGGCUCAACCUGGGAACUGCAUUGGUGACUGGCAGGCUAGAGUAUG